Long non-coding RNA from Nematolebias whitei (Rio pearlfish), 463 nucleotides. RefSeq lists it as uncharacterized. The transcript has 2 exons. NCBI's taxonomy places the organism in Eukaryota, Metazoa, Chordata, Actinopteri, Cyprinodontiformes, Rivulidae. The record is from RefSeq and is a predicted model, not a curated record.
CUGAUCACCUGCCUCCUCUUGGCUUCCCCAAACUCAUCUCCCUGCGUUUUUAUACCCAGGACCCAAACACUUCAAACAUCAAACUGCCCCACUCUUCAGCUGGCUCUCUGGAGCUCUUCCUGCCCAGGGGCUUGGAGGAGGCUCUGGAUCUGUUGAUGCUGCUGAACCGAGCUCUGCAGAACGCCCUGAACUCACGGACAAACAAAUAUUGAGAGGCAGUCAGCACAGAAGUGGUGACAAGAUGAUGAAAUGGAAACCCAAAUGGAUAUUUUACAUACUUGCCUUUACUGCCUUUCAGUAGUUUGAAGGUUCCUGCUGGAAGUUCUGAGCCUGGAUUUUAUUCAUUCAGCUGCUUAAUAUUUGUGAUGUGUAAAUAUCUUUUUAGACCAUGAGUAAUGGCACAUAUUGGAUUUUAUUCAACAGACUGUUUACAAAAUGCUUUAUAGUUAUUUAAAAAAAAAAA